This 391-nucleotide long non-coding RNA is filed under the name Gallus gallus (chicken). RNAcentral's name for it is "long non-coding RNA NONGGAT006905". Lineage: Eukaryota; Metazoa; Chordata; Aves; Galliformes; Phasianidae. The record is from RNAcentral.
ACUGACUACAGUUGUGCUGGAGAGCUGUUCUGAAUGAGCGUAGACAAUCAAAUGCUUCAUCAAAGCUGAAGUCCAGCUCCUAGGUGGAGGUCACAGUCAUCUUUGGAAGGUGUAACUCUCAGAUUUCCAAGUUUGGACCAUGUGGGCUAAACUCGAAGAAAUUCAGAAAGUCUGAGAAGAGUCUUCAGCCUCUGAAGCUGUUCUAUGUGUAUGUGCCACCACGUGCUCAGUUUUCAAUGGAUGCAAUGGAUGUAAGUCAUGACUCAUUGACACAAACCAGUAAUUUGCAUGCCAAAUUGAAAAACAGUGCCUGAAGACAAAUGCAUAGAGAACUGACCUCAGCCUAGAGAUCUGAUAAAGUAUGCUUAAAAAAACCCACACGUAUUCUUAG